This 29-nucleotide non-coding RNA is filed under the name Mus musculus (house mouse). Lineage: Eukaryota; Metazoa; Chordata; Mammalia; Rodentia; Muridae. The record is from RNAcentral.
UCAAAGACUCUAAAGAUACCUAGGGAAGA